UACGUAGGGGGCAAGCGUUGUCCGGAAUCAUUGGGCGUAAAGCGCGUGUAGGCGGCUCGGUAAGUCCGCUGUGAAAGUCCAGGGCUCAACCCUGGGAUGCCGGUGGAUACUGUCGGGCUCGAGUCCGGAAGAGGAGUGUGGAAUUCCUGGUGUAGCGGUGAAAUGCGCAGAUAUCAGGAGGAACACCGGUGGCGAAGGCGGUUCUCUGG
Molecule: ribosomal RNA, 209 nt
Filed under: uncultured bacterium
Lineage: Bacteria
Description: partial 16S ribosomal RNA
Rfam family: Bacterial small subunit ribosomal RNA
Source: RNAcentral